GACGAACGCUGGCGGCGUGCCUAAUACAUGCAAGUCGAACGCUUCUUUCCUCCCGAGUGCUUGCACUCAAUUGGAAAGAGGAGUGGCGGACGGGUGAGUAACACGUGGGUAACCUACCCAUCAGAGGGGGAUAUCACUUGGAAACAGGCGCUAAUACCGCAUAACAGUUUAUGCCGCAUGGCAUAAGAGUGAAAGGCGCUUUCGGGUGUCGUUGAUGGAUGGACCCGCGGUGCAUUAGCUAGUUGGUGAGGUAACGGCUCACCAAGGCCACGAUGCAUAGCCGACCUGAGAGGGUGAUCGGCCACACGGGGACUGAGACACGGCCCAGACUCCUACGGGAGGCAGCAGUAGGGAAUCUUAGGCAAUGGACGAAAGUCUGACCGAGCAACGCCGCGUGAGUGAAGAAGGUUUUCGGAUCGUAAAACUCUGUUGUUAGAGAAGAACAAGGACGUUAGGAAAUGAACGUCCCCUGACGGUAUCUAAAGAAGAAGCAACGGCUAACUACGUG
Molecule: ribosomal RNA, 508 nt
Filed under: uncultured bacterium
Lineage: Bacteria
Description: partial 16S ribosomal RNA
Rfam family: Bacterial small subunit ribosomal RNA
Source: RNAcentral